AGGUAGAUAGUUUAAAAAAAACAUUUGAUUUCGGCUCAAAAGCUCGUGGUUAAAGUCCACCCUCACCUA
Molecule: transfer RNA, 69 nt
Filed under: Pennahia argentata (silver croaker)
Lineage: Eukaryota; Metazoa; Chordata; Actinopteri; Sciaenidae
Description: tRNA-Arg
Rfam family: tRNA
About the family: Transfer RNA (tRNA) molecules are approximately 80 nucleotides in length.
Source: RNAcentral